RNAcentral lists this ribosomal RNA (499 nucleotides) under uncultured bacterium. RNAcentral describes it as "partial 16S ribosomal RNA". It matches the Rfam family "Bacterial small subunit ribosomal RNA", at positions 28 to 507 of the family's 1533-position model. The record is from RNAcentral.
GACGAACGCUGGCGGCGUGCCUAAUACAUGCAAGUCGAGCGAAGUUUUUCUGGUGCUUGCACUAGAAACACUUAGCGGCGAACGGGUGAGUAACACGUAAAGAACCUGCCUCAUAGACUGGGACAACUAUUGGAAACGAUAGCUAAUACCGGAUAACAGUAUUUCUCGCAUGAGAGAUAUUUAAAAGUUGGUUAUGCUAACACUAUGAGAUGGCUUUGCGGUGCAUUAGCUAGUUGGCGGGGUAAAGGCCCACCAAGGCGACGAUGCAUAGCCGACCUGAGAGGGUGAUCGGCCACACUGGGACUGAGACACGGCCCAGACUCCUACGGGAGGCAGCAGUAGGGAAUCUUCCGCAAUGGGCGAAAGCCUGACGGAGCAACGCCGCGUGAGUGAAGAAGGAUUUCGGUUCGUAAAGCUCUGUUGUUAGGGAAGAAUGGAUAUGUAGUAACUAUACAUGUAAGAGACGGUACCUAACCAGAAAGCCACGGCUAACUACGUG